CAAAUUAAAGCUAAAGUGUAGUAUUUUAUUUACAAUAAAAUUUUGAUUAAAAAUAAUAAUCUAAUUUGA
Molecule: transfer RNA, 69 nt
Filed under: Hydropsyche simulata
Lineage: Eukaryota; Metazoa; Arthropoda; Insecta; Trichoptera; Hydropsychidae
Description: tRNA-Val
Source: RNAcentral